Oryctolagus cuniculus (rabbit) is the source of this 1310-nucleotide non-coding RNA. The record is from RefSeq and is a predicted model, not a curated record. Lineage: Eukaryota; Metazoa; Chordata; Mammalia; Lagomorpha; Leporidae.
AAAUAUUUAUUUAUUUGAAAGAGUUAGAGAGAGGAAGAGGAGAGAGAGAGAGAGAGAGAGAUUCUACCUACUGGUUCACUCCCCAAAUGGUUGCAAUGGCCAGGGCUGGGCCAGGCUGAAGCCUAGAACCAGGUCUCCCAUGUGGGUGCAAGAACUCAAGCCCUUGGGCCAUCUUCCACCACUUUCCCAGGCACAUUAGCAGGGAGCUGGGUUGGAAGUGGAGCAGCCAGGACUUGAACUGGUGCCCAUAUGGGAUGUUGGCACUGCAGAUGAUGGCUUAAACCUGUGUGCCACAGCAUCAGCCCCAAAGCAAUUGUUUUCUAAGAAGUUCUUUCAGAGUUGCACCAAAAAUAAUCUUUUCAUCCUAUUUUCUACAAACUGUUUGAAAUACCCUCUAAUGCUCAUAUGUUUGCUUUUGACUCCUCACCCUUUUAUUCUGAAUCUCUCAGCAUCUCAGAAUAAGAUUUAAAGAACUGUGACUGUCUGUUAAUUAAGUACUUUAACUACUGAAUUCAACUUGUGAAUCUACCUCCUUCUGGAUAUGAACAGAGCAAAAUAUCUAGCCUUGCCUUGAACUGUUUCCUAUAAUGAAAACCCCUACAAGGACACAUACUGUCCAGAGCUGUCUGGAGCUUGCAAUUAGAAAAGUGUCACACAGCCCCAAGUGUAUUUUUACAUUUUCUAUAGAGUCUUUAAUUGUAUAAGCAAUGAAUAAAACCACCUUGAAAAUAAGUUGCUUCUGAAACCUAUAAGUAGUCUAGUUACCAGUAGUUAAAUAAAAAGUGCGUUCAGAUGUUGAGAAUGCCACUAACUUGCUCCGAUUGUUCACGUGGUCUGUUGUAAUCAUCUUGUUUCCUUUCCCUUCUCUAAUCUGUACAGCAAUUUGAAGCUUUGCAGACUUCAGUCUGGAAAAGAAUCACCUGCAAAGCUUCUUGAACUGCAAAAUCCUGGGAGAUUCUCUUUUGCUAGGUCUAAAUGGCACAGGAGCAUGAAUAUGAAGAGCCCCUGGCAACCGUGAUGCAGUUGGCAUCUCAUCAUCUCACACUGUUAACUCUACAUGUAAAAGUAUCACAUUUCCCUGAAAUGAAAAUCAGGAUCCCAAAGGAGUCAUGACACUUGAUAGAAAUGACAGAAAACUCAAAACGCAAAAUUCUAGAUGACAGUGCUGUCAUUAUCAUGGGAUGUUAUGAGAGUCACAUGAAAAAAGAAGGUACAUGUAAAAUACUUGGUAUACUGACACACAGUAAUAUUGUCAUUACUCAUAUUACUGGAAUAUCAGUUAUUAUAUCACACAUAGCAAAUAGGGUAUU